Molecule: transfer RNA, 85 nt
Filed under: Felis catus (domestic cat)
Lineage: Eukaryota; Metazoa; Chordata; Mammalia; Carnivora; Felidae
Rfam family: tRNA
About the family: Transfer RNA (tRNA) molecules are approximately 80 nucleotides in length. Their secondary structure includes four short double-helical elements and three loops (D, anti-codon, and T loops).
Source: Rfam by way of RNAcentral
ACCUGGGUGGCUCAGUCAGUUGAGCAUCUGACUUUGGUUCAGGUCAUGGUCUCACAGUUUGUGGGUUCAAGCCCCGCAUUGGGCU